RNAcentral lists this ribosomal RNA (667 nucleotides) under Fictibacillus rigui. RNAcentral describes it as "bacterial SSU rRNA". It matches the Rfam family "Bacterial small subunit ribosomal RNA", at positions 52 to 702 of the family's 1533-position model. Lineage: Bacteria; Bacillati; Bacillota; Bacilli; Caryophanales; Fictibacillaceae. The record is from RNAcentral.
UAUAAUGCAGUCGAGCGAAUGACGAGGAGCUUGCUCCUCUGAUUUAGCGGCGGACGGGUGAGUAACACGUGGGUAACCUGCCUGUAAGACGGGGAUAACUUCGGGAAACCGAAGCUAAUACCGGAUAAUAAAGAGAAACUCCUGUUUCUUUUUUGAAAGUCGGUUUCGGCUGACGCUUACAGAUGGGCCCGCGGCGCAUUAGCUAGUUGGUGAGGUAACGGCUCACCAAGGCCACGAUGCGUAGCCGACCUGAGAGGGUGAUCGGCCACACUGGGACUGAGACACGGCCCAGACUCCUACGGGAGGCAGCAGUAGGGAAUCUUCGGCAAUGGACGAAAGUCUGACCGAGCAACGCCGCGUGAGCGAUGAAGGCCUUCGGGUCGUAAAGCUCUGUUGUCAGAGAAGAACAAGUACCGGAGUAACUGCCGGUACCUUGACGGUACCUGACCAGAAAGCCACGGCUAACUACGUGCCAGCAGCCGCGGUAAUACGUAGGUGGCAAGCGUUAUCCGGAAUUAUUGGGCGUAAAGCGCGCGCAGGCGGUUCCUUAAGUCUGAUGUGAAAGCCCACGGCUCAACCGUGGAGGGUCAUUGGAAACUGGGGAACUUGAGUGCAGGAGAGAAAAGUGGAAUUCCACGUGUAGCGGUGAAAUGCGUAGAGAUGUGGA